CCUGGCCCAAAGGGCCAAGUGAGCUUUUCCCAUCACUUGGCGUCCGGCGUCCGUCGUCGUCGUCCGGCGUCCGUCGUCGUCGUCCGUCGUCGUUAGCUUUUACAAAUAUAUUCUCCUCUGAAACUACUGGGCCAAAUUAAACCAAACUUGGCAACAAUCAUCAUUGGGGUAUCUAGUUUAAAAAAUGUGUGGCGUGACCCGGUCAACCAACCAAGAUGGCCGCCACGGCUAAAAAUAGAACAUAGGGGUAAAAUGCAGUUUUUGGCUUAUAACUCAAAAACCAAAGCAUUAAGAGCAAAUCUGAUAUGGGGUAUAAUUGUUUAUCAGGUCAAGAUCUAUCUGCCCUGAAAUUUUCAGAUGAAUCGGACAACCUGUUGUUGGGUUGCUGCCCCUGAAUUGGUAAUUUUAAGGAAAUUUUGCUGUUUUUGGUUAUUAUUUUGAAUAUUAUUAUAGAUAGAGAUAAACUGUAAACAGCAAUAAUGUUCAGCAAAGUAAGAUUUACAAAUAAGUCAACAUGACCGAAAUGGUCAG
This 531-nucleotide long non-coding RNA is filed under the name Mytilus galloprovincialis (Mediterranean mussel). Lineage: Eukaryota; Metazoa; Mollusca; Bivalvia; Mytilida; Mytilidae. The record is from RNAcentral.